Pezoporus flaviventris is the source of this 3805-nucleotide long non-coding RNA. RefSeq lists it as uncharacterized. The record is from RefSeq and is a predicted model, not a curated record. Lineage: Eukaryota; Metazoa; Chordata; Aves; Psittaciformes; Psittacidae. The transcript is spliced from 2 exons.
AGCUUUAUACAGCUGGAGAGUGUGUAAUACCAGCGGAGCUGCCUUUGAAUGCUCCUCUGCUAGUGGUACGAGGUGUGGAGGGGGCCCAAAUCAGCACAUAUGCAACAAACCUCACCCAAUGGGCUUUGUCCCUUGCUGCCCUGGUGUGGUUGAUGCCAUGUGUGCUUCCUCUCCUGCCUUUGCUUCACACUAUUUUUUGGUUUUAUUUCUCAGCAUGGGAUUUUGCACAGGUCAGAAUUUAUUAUUGUCUGUGGUCUUCCGCCAAACUUCUGCCUUUGCUCUUUCAUGGCAGAUAAGGCUGGGCUCUUACGAAAUGCCUCCAAAGGGGCACUGGCCCUGGUGGGUGCUUCCAGCCUUGUGCCUCUCCCCACAGGACACUGUGAGAUGCUGCAGCUGUGGCUGGCCCAGCAGCUGCAGCAAUGAGGACUGGGCUUUUGUGUCAUGCUGGUCUUUUUUUUACUUUCAUAUGCACUAACCGUCCUCCCUGCUAAAUUCUUCAGGAUGUGGGUUUCAUGGGCUUGCAUCCGUCUCUUUGGGUGCCUGAGAUCAGCAGCAAGGCUGAAAUGGAGACACCGAGCCUGGUCCUAAGGAACAGCAAGGACCAGAAGCUCCCAGGGCUGAUAUGGACUCUGUUGAGCAGUAGCCAAGCCUGUUAAUAUCUCCAUCACAAGCCUUCCUUGUUCUAAAACAGGGACGCUAAAGCCUCUUUGCCUGGGCAGGGAUGAAUUUCUCUGCUCCUGCUAAGUGCCAUGUAGAGCUCAGCAGGCUCACUGGGCAGUGUGCCUGAGACAGUGCCCACAGCCACAUUCUUGCAGGGCCUCUUGCGCUGUUGUGGCUCUGCCCAGCUCCGGGCAGAGCUGUGCAGUUGGAGGAGUGGGGAGUAGGAGAGGGCUGCUCCCACAAGUGGGGGUGUGGGAGUGAGUUACAGGUAGCAUUGACUGGGUCAGCAGUGUCCGGGCUUGCCUCUCCAGCGUCAAAGCUGUAUCACUGCCUUCUACCAAAGCCAGCACCCGACCUGCCGGUGCUUCCCUCUGAUUUCAUGUCAGCAUCACUCGGCUGAUAUCUGUAGCAUGUCGCAUCCUCCCAGAAUGUGAGGAGUGCAGCAGGGAGGCACGCCUGUCACCUUGCUGCAGAAACAGACUUGCCCUUCAGUAGGUCAGAAUCCUUGGCCAUGAAGCAGAUGGUAUAAGUAGGUGGGUGCUGUCUCCAGGGGCUCUAACACCUAUAAAUCCCCUCCCUGGCAAGGGCUGUUUCUCAAAACAGGAAAAAUAUACAAAACAAUCUUGUGCUUCUUAUCUACCAGUGUUAAACCUGGUUUUAUUGCUCUGUUUUUUUUUAAGGAGCCUUGCUAGGAAACCAAGAGGCAGUUUCAGGUCAUGAUGGGUAGGAACCUAUUUGCUUUUCUGGAGUUACAUGCACUCAGCUUAAUACUUUGCAAUAGCCAGUAGAGAUUGCCAAUGCAGAAAUCAAAAGACUUCCAUUAACUCUUGGUGCCUUUGAAAACAUACCUCUGAUAGUUAUGGAUGGUGAGCUUCCAGCCUCCUGCCUAAUUAUAGCUCAGUGGUAUAUUACAGGAAAUCAGAUCUUAAAUCAGAUCUUUCAGAUGCAAUUCCGGGCAGCGGGUGUGUUACCUUCACAUGCGAGCAAUGCAAUCCAGUCCUCUCCAGCUUGUGCCUGUUUUUCUUCACAGUAAGGAUCUUUGAGUUCGGGAGGAUUCUUUUUAUUCUGCUUUUUAAGUGAGAACAAUUCAGAAAAACUGGGAGCAGAUGGCCAUGGGCCAGUGUCCAGGCUCUUUCCGCAGCCCAGCUGGCUGGACUUAGGGGCCGGCUCUGCCUCCCUACCUGCUGCUUGAAUCGUUAAGUGCUGCAGCAUUUCCAGCUGGGAACCUGUGCCCUUCCCCAUGUCAUGGCAGCAAUGUCAAGGGAUGGCGCUGCUUGGUGCCUCCUCACUCUGAGUGUGGGUAUUUUGGGACCAGCGUUGGAUUUAGCAAGUACUUUUCAGUGGUUAUUUUUUCUCUUCCAUGUAAUACAGAGGGAAGAAUAUUCCUGAUGCCUCAGACUUACAUAAGGCAGUUUUGACGGCAGUUUGGCAGUUUAACUUCCAAAAUAAAUCAAAAUGUGAUGGCAAUUCCUACAUGAGACCCAAGAAUCAUGAGUGCCUUGAAAGGGAAAAUAAAUUAACAAAGCCAGUUCUGUCAAAACUGGAGCUGAAACUGUAUUAUUCAUUUAAGGGCAGUUUCACUUUUAAGAAGCUUAGUUUGUUUUAAUAAGCCAGGAUUGUGCUAAUAACACUACUAAAGAGCUUAUAUUUAAUGCUUUAAUCUGUCCCAUUCAAAUGGCACAAUUUGCACGCUACCUGCCUUUACGUUAGCACAUAUCCCAGCUAAAUCCUCAAUCCGGCAAAUGAGGCGCUGCUCUCUGCCUUCCGUCUGAUUGCAUUUGGAGUAAUUCUGUGGUUCAUUCUGCAGCACCGAGAAGGAAAUGGCUGAAUCCCAGUCGGUAUUUGUCCUCAGCCGGGCUGUGCACGCCCGGGUCUUUGCUAGGUCACCAAAGUGCUGCGUGACUUUGAAUGAGCUUGAUCAGGGCUUCUUCAUCAUCCUGCUCAUGUAGCAGGGAUGGCCCUUUUGUGAGUAAAAAGAGCUGUAAUUAGAGUCCUGCUCAAAUCUGUUUGGGAGUACUAGGUUUUUAAUGACCGCUGCCACUUGCUUCAUUAGGCAGGAAGCACCUGUGUGCUCCACCACCUCCUCUGAGAUGGAGCUAUCAAACCAGCUCUGCUGAGACUCGCUUGUGCUGGCAGCGCCUUUGAAGCAGCCCCUGGGCAGAAGGUCGGGAUUUCAGCUUCCUGAGAUCACACGUGUCUGGCUAAUGGGGUAUCCUCUCUGUCAGCUUGCAGGCACAGAUCGUUACAGGGAAAGCACAGAAUUUUCAUUGCACAUUGUCCCCGACAGCAGAAUAAGACUGAUUGCCACACACUGUUUUUCUCCGGUCAUUCAGGUUUGGGCUGUUUCACCUCUCGCCUUUUCUUUCCCUUAUUAAAGCUAGAAAAUGUCUGGGCAGCAUAGGACAGGUUCCCUUGCAAAAGGGGAGCUGAACGCUAAAGCGGGAUGGCUACUGAAGUCAAACCAUUUUCAAAGUUUUCUUUAGUAUAAUAACACAAAAGCAAUGGGACAAAAAUGCUUGAAAUUAAAAGAGACUGAAGUCUGAAAGGAGGGCAAUUCUGACAUGGCCUUUGUAAGCUGUGCCAAGAAGGGCUCCCAAUCCUGCUAAUAUAGUUGGCAGAAUCCUUGUAUUUUUCUGAGGCUGGAAUUUCACAUUGAGACUACUGUUUUGUUUCUGAACAUCUAUCUUUAUAUAAAACAACAUUUUUCCAUCAAAUCCAGGUCCUAGCAGGUUACUGUAGGAAGAAUAACCGGAUGGUUUCACCUGUGGACAUUCACAACCAAGACAGGAUGUUUUCCAUUACAACAGCUACCAAAUUAAUAGUUUGGAGGUAGUAUCCCCCCCGAUUUUACCCCUCUCAACUGCCUUUGCAGAGAAGCCUCAAUACCCUGCUGAAGCUCACAGGGAAUGCGCGGAGCUCCUGUGUCAGGGGCACCUUUCUGCGGCACCCAGCAGUUACCGGCAACACUACGAGCAACCUGCAGAAACACUCUCACCUCUUUGAAGUGCUUAUAUUUUAUGUACACAUGUAUCUUCCUAAGAGGCGGUUUUGCAUGCGCCUUUGUUUUACACGCGGAAAUUGUAUUUUGCAUUUCAAGACGUUUGUAUUUUAUGCCGUGAAGCCAAAUAAACCGUUCUGAUUUGUA